Molecule: non-coding RNA, 70 nt
Organism: Dipodomys ordii (Ord's kangaroo rat)
Lineage: Eukaryota; Metazoa; Chordata; Mammalia; Rodentia; Heteromyidae
Source: Rfam
GGGAUGGUGGCUCAGUGGUAGAGUGCUUGCCUUGCCUGCAAGAGGCCCUGGGUUCGAUUCCUCAGUACCA